CCCACGGGGAGUCACCCCCCCUUAGAAAAAUGGGAAAAAUCCCGGGAAAACCGGGGCUUAUAUCCCGGAAUUUUCUUUUGAACCCGCCAGGGUUCAAAACUAAAAAAGGGGGCUUCGGGUAACCAAUUAAAGAGAGGACCCGGGGGCCCUUAGGUUAUUUGGUGAGGUAAUGGCUCCACCAAGGCAACGGAUGGGUAACCCACCUUGAGAGGGUGUUCGGCCCCACUGGGAACUGAGACCCGGUCCCAGAUUUCUUACGGGAGGCAGCAGUAGGGAAUCCUCCGCAAUGGACGAAAGUCUGACGGAGCAACGCCGGCGUGAGUGAUGAAGGUUUUCGGAUCGUAAAGCUCUGUUGUUAGGGAAGAACAAGUACCGUUCGAAUAGGGCGGUACCUUGACGGUACCUAACCAGAAAGCCACGGCUAACUACGUGCCAGCAGCCGCGGUAAUACGUAGGUGGCAAGCGUUGUCCGGAAUUAUUGGGCGUAAAGGGCUCGCAGGCGGUUCCUUAAGUCUGAUGUGAAAGCCCCCGGCUCAACCGGGGAGGGUCAUUGGAAACUGGGGAACUUGAGUGCAGAAGAGGAGAGUGGAAUUCCACGUGUAGCGGUGAAAUGCGUAGAGAUGUGGAGGAACACCAGUGGCGAAGGCGACUCUCUGGUCUGUAACUGACGCUGAGGAGCGAAAGCGUGGGGAGCGAACAGGAUUAGAUACCCUGGUAGUCCACGCCGUAAACGAUGAGUGCUAAGUGUUAGGGGGUUUCCGCCCCUUAGUGCUGCAGCUAACGCAUUAAGCACUCCGCCUGGGGAGUACGGUCGCAAGACUGAAACUCAAAGGAAUUGACGGGGGCCCGCACAAGCGGUGGAGCAUGUGGUUUAAUUCGAAGCAACGCGAAGAACCUUACCAGGUCUUGACAUCCUCUGACAAUCCUAGAGAUAGGACGUCCCCUUCGGGGGCAGAGUGACAGGUGGUGCAUGGUUGUCGUCAGCUCGUGUCGUGAGAUGUUGGGUUAAGUCCCGCAACGAGCGCAACCCUUGAUCUUAGUUGCCAGCAUUCAGUUGGGCACUCUAAGGUGACUGCCGGUGACAAACCGGAGGAAGGUGGGGAUGACGUCAAAUCAUCAUGCCCCUUAUGACCUGGGCUACACACGUGCUACAAUGGACAGAACAAAGGGCAGCGAAACCGCGAGGUUAAGCCAAUCCCACAAAUCUGUUCUCAGUUCGGAUCGCAGUCUGCAACUCGACUGCGUGAAGCUGGAAUCGCUAGUAAUCGCGGAUCAGCAUGCCGCGGUGAAUACGUUCCCGGGCCUUGUACACACCGCCCGUCACACCACGAGAGUUUGUAACACCCGAAGUCGGUGAGGUAACCUUUAUGGAGCCAUCCUUUUUUAAAGGGGACCCCCCGGA
This 1402-nucleotide ribosomal RNA is filed under the name Bacillus subtilis. RNAcentral describes it as "16S ribosomal RNA". It matches the Rfam family "Bacterial small subunit ribosomal RNA", at positions 99 to 1474 of the family's 1533-position model. The record is from RNAcentral. Lineage: Bacteria; Bacillati; Bacillota; Bacilli; Caryophanales; Bacillaceae.